Long non-coding RNA from Bactrocera neohumeralis, 467 nucleotides. RefSeq lists it as uncharacterized. Lineage: Eukaryota; Metazoa; Arthropoda; Insecta; Diptera; Tephritidae. The record is from RefSeq and is a predicted model, not a curated record. The transcript is spliced from 3 exons.
GUAAGCGUUUAGUAUACCACUAGGAUUACUCGCCACACAUUUUCCUGCAGCGUCUCAACGCAUAUAUUGAUGUGGAGUAGGGCAAAGGGAGUCAUAAUUUUUGGUAUCAAUGACCUUCACCGCGUUGUUGUCGUUGUCAUCGUCACAUUUCUUGUUGAUGGGCCACCGUACUAUUUAUAUGCUUGUACAAACACAAGUAUGCGUUCAUAUGGCUGGGUGUAUUGAUAUGGUUUCUGCAAUUCUUUUUGGUUAUUGCAGCUCUUUUUAAUUUGUAUGGACAUGUACGACUAUAUUAUUCGUAGCAGAGACAUCUACUGUUUAGGUUUACCUCGUUUAUAAUUGUGGACAAAUUAAAGAAAUCUUAAGAAAUGUAAAACCAAAACUUAUGUAUAUGUAUAUUUUCGCUCUCUGCACAUAUGUAUGUACAUAUGUUUGAUAUACAAAUGACAUCAACAAUAGUUGAAACU